AUUUUUACCGUUGCAUCAUGUCGCCCAAUAUGAUGCUUGCUCGUACCAGGCCCCUGCAAUUUCAACAGGGGCCUUUUUUU
RNAcentral lists this small RNA (80 nucleotides) under Escherichia coli. RNAcentral's name for it is "small regulatory RNA MicL-S". It matches the Rfam family "MicL sRNA", at positions 229 to 308 of the family's 308-position model. Rfam says of the family: mRNA-interfering complementary RNA regulator of Lpp. Transcription factor sigma E dependant sRNA. RNAcentral also lists the same sequence under 1 other name. The record is from RNAcentral. Lineage: Bacteria; Pseudomonadati; Pseudomonadota; Gammaproteobacteria; Enterobacterales; Enterobacteriaceae.